GCGGAGUUUAACUGAUACGUGACCUUCUUCUGGGAACACUUGACCGAUGCCAAGAACAUGGACACCUUCUACCAGUGACAUAUUUUGGUGAGCCAGCCAGGAGGAAGAGAGACCAUCAAGCUUCAGAUGAUCAUGCAACAAAGGUUCCAGCCAGUUGCAGGUGAAGACACCACCUCCAGCAGUAAAGAAGCUACCCCACCUCCACUAGACAGAGCAGAGCUGGAGUGCAAUGGCAUGAUCUCCGCUCACCACAACC
Molecule: long non-coding RNA, 256 nt
Filed under: Homo sapiens (human)
Lineage: Eukaryota; Metazoa; Chordata; Mammalia; Primates; Hominidae
Description: HSALNT0306645
Source: RNAcentral